RNAcentral lists this unclassified non-coding RNA (208 nucleotides) under Hevea brasiliensis (rubber tree). The record is from RNAcentral. Lineage: Eukaryota; Viridiplantae; Streptophyta; Magnoliopsida; Malpighiales; Euphorbiaceae.
UGUUAGGAAUAUUUAUUGUUAAUACUUAGAUGCAGUACUUUUUGGGGUAGAAAUUUUAAGUUAAAUGCUCGUGUACCAGAUGGGGCCUGUAGGUAGUUCAAUUGACAAUUAGCAUCUUACACCUGGCUGGGAUCGUCAUAGAUGGAAUUGUUGUUUGGUAACUGGUGACCCUACUGUCAAAUUAAAUGCAUUGGGUACCACUUCGUUA